UACGAACCGUACGAACGUUAUUCGGAAUCACUGGGCUUAAAGGGUGCGUAGGCGGCCAUGUAAGUGAGGUGUGAAAUCCCUCGGCUCAACCGAGGAACUGCGCUUCAUACUGCAUGGCUUGAGGGAGACAGGGGUAAGCGGAACUGAUGGUGGAGCGGUGAAAUGCGUUGAUAUCAUCAGGAACACCGGUGGCGAAAGCGGCUUACUGGGUCUCUUCUGACGCUGAGGUACGAAAGCUAGGGUAGCGAACGGG
RNAcentral lists this ribosomal RNA (253 nucleotides) under uncultured bacterium. Its description in RNAcentral is "partial 16S ribosomal RNA". It matches the Rfam family "Bacterial small subunit ribosomal RNA", at positions 524 to 776 of the family's 1533-position model. The record is from RNAcentral.